This 460-nucleotide ribosomal RNA is filed under the name uncultured bacterium. RNAcentral describes it as "partial 16S ribosomal RNA". It matches the Rfam family "Bacterial small subunit ribosomal RNA", at positions 338 to 795 of the family's 1533-position model. The record is from RNAcentral.
CCUACGGGAGGCAGCAGUGAGGAAUAUUGGUCAAUGGACGAGAGUCUGAACCAGCCAAGUAGCGUGAAGGAUGACUGCCCUAUGGGUUGUAAACUUCUUUUAUAUGGGAAUAAAGUGUUCCACGUGUGGGAUUUUGUAUGUACCAUAUGAAUAAGGAUCGGCUAACUCCGUGCCAGCAGCCGCGGUAAUACGGAGGGUCCGAGCGUUAUCCGGAUUUAUUGGGUUUAAAGGGAGCGUAGGUGGAUGGUUAAGUCAGUUGUGAAAUUUUGCGGCGCAACCGUAAAAGUGCAGUUGAAACUGGCAGUCUUGAGUACAGGAGAGGUGGGCGGAAUUCGUGGUGUAGCGGUGAAAUGCUUAGAUAUCACGAAGAACCCCGAUUGCGAAGGCAGUUCACUGGACUGUAACUGACACUGAGGCUCGAAAGUGUGGGUAUCAAACAGGAUUAGAUACCCCUGUAGUC